AAUAAGAUACCCCGGUACGUCCUCGCCGUAAACGACUCGUAUACUUGGUGUAACCGGACUCAACCCUGGUUGUGGCCGAAGCUAACGCGUUAAGUAUACCGCCUGGGGAGUACGCUCGCAAGGGUGAAACUCAAAAGAAUUGACGGGGACCCGCACAAGCAGUGGAGCAUGUGGUUUAAUUCGAUGCAACGCGAAGAACCUUACCUAGGCUUGACAUGCAGAGUGAUAUAGCAGAAAUGUUAUAGCCCUUCGGGGACUCUGCACAGGUGCUGCAUGGCUGUCGUCAGCUCGUGCCGUGAGGUGUUGGGUUAAGUCCCGCAACGAGCGCAACCCUUAUCGUUAGUUGCCAACAGGUAAUGCUGGGAACUCUAGCGAGACUGCCUGGGGUUAACCAGGAGGAAGGUGAGGAUGACGUCAAGUCCGCAUGGCCCUUAUGCCUAGGGCUACACACGUGCUACAAUGGCCGGUACAGAAGGCGGCGAAGUCGUGAGAUGGAGCAAAUCCUUAAAGCCGGUCCAGUUCGGAUUGUAGUCUGA
Molecule: ribosomal RNA, 536 nt
Filed under: uncultured bacterium
Lineage: Bacteria
Description: bacterial SSU rRNA
Rfam family: Bacterial small subunit ribosomal RNA
Source: RNAcentral